This is a non-coding RNA of Gossypium raimondii (Peruvian cotton), 107 nucleotides long. NCBI's taxonomy places the organism in Eukaryota, Viridiplantae, Streptophyta, Magnoliopsida, Malvales, Malvaceae. The record is from Rfam.
AAUCUAUGGUGCGGGCACUUUUGAAUCAACAUUUUUAAGUGCUCCCACACCUCAUGGAAACUUUCCCCUUCCUUCUGUCUAAAGACAACAAUCUAUCUUCUUAGUUG